UGGGGUGUAGCUUGGUGGUAGAGUACUUGGCUAGCAUGUGGGAGGACCUGGGUUUAAAUCCCAGUACCCUCA
RNAcentral lists this transfer RNA (72 nucleotides) under Ictidomys tridecemlineatus (thirteen-lined ground squirrel). RNAcentral's name for it is "Spermophilus tridecemlineatus (thirteen-lined ground squirrel) tRNA". It matches the Rfam family "tRNA". Rfam says of the family: Transfer RNA (tRNA) molecules are approximately 80 nucleotides in length. Their secondary structure includes four short double-helical elements and three loops (D, anti-codon, and T loops). The record is from Rfam by way of RNAcentral. Lineage: Eukaryota; Metazoa; Chordata; Mammalia; Rodentia; Sciuridae.